UUUAACUUAUUUGUUACUAUAAAAUAAAUAACAGCUUCAUAAUAAGAAAAGAAAUCAGUUAUUUCAAAAACGCUUGGACAAUUUGGUAUAUGUGAAGUGCAAUAGAGCUUUGCUACGCCAACACACUUUUGGGGAUAUCACAACGCUUAUUGAUUUGACAAAUAUUGAUAGUAAUGAGUGGUUGCUUGGUGAAUUAGAAAAAGGCGAUGGGGAUGAUGAUGAUUCUUUUGUUUGCAUGGAUGAUGUGUUGAUCUGGAGUGAUGUUGGUAGAGCAGCCGGAGUUUCUAAAUCUCGUUAUGAAUCGAGAUCGGCUGCAAGAUCAACACCGGUUGAAACUCCAUCAUUACGAAGGCCUUGUGCAAUGAGAGAUGCAUUAUCUUCGCAAGUUGAUGAUGAUGAAGAGGAGGAAGAAUUUGUGAUGGCCACUAUUAAAAAUGAAGAUGAUUUUGAAAAUCUUGAUGAUGAGUAGUUUUAAUUAUAAGUUUUUUAUGUACUUCUUGAUUUCGUUUAUUAUGACUUACAACUUAUUUUUAUUUAUUAAAGUCUGAACUUCUGUAAUUUACAUUUUCUAUUAUAUGACGGAUAAAUUUUGACAACUGUCCCUGAACUUAUCUAGUUGUUACAUUACAGUCCUUCAACUUAAAAAUGUAACAUUAAACCCCAUCAACUUUCAAAUUUUGCACAGUAAAAUCCAUCCAACCUCAAAUUACUAGUUUUUCAAUUAGGCGCUGAUCUGGACAGUUCCAGCAUGGAACUUAGUCAGUAUUUCUCUUUUCUCUCUCAAGCCAUGUGUAAAUUGAAUCCUUUUUUUCUCUAUAGACAGAAUAAUUUUCAUAUGUAAAGAGAAUAAAUUUACAUUUUGCAUAAAAGAGGAGAGAGAAAUGUUGACUAAGUGCCAUGCGGAAGCUAUUCACAUCAGUUUCUAGCUGAAAAAUCAGUAAUUGAAAGUCAGAGAGAUUUUACUGUGCAAAAUUUGAAAGUUUAGAGAGUUUUAUGUUACAUUUUAAAGUUAAAGGACUGUAGUAUUAUAACUAUAUAAGUUCAUGGACAGUUAUUGAAAUUUAUCCAUUAUAUGACUUAUGACUUAUUUCUAAUUUUUUAUUUAUUAUGUAUAAUUUUAUAAUAUCACUUUUAUCAUAUACAUAAGCUGAAAAUUCAGGUAUGAACUAUUUCUUUUUCUAACAUAUCUUAUUAUUAUGUGUGUUGUUACUUAUGCUAUAUAUUUCAAUUUUACAGUCUCAUACUCUCACUUAUAUCUUAUACUUAAGCUGGAAAUACAGAUUCAAGAUGCAUUUACACAAGAAGCUCCAAUCACAAUGACUAGAGUUAAGAAGAUGCAAGAGUUGAUUGAGAAAGUAGUUACACAAGAAGCUAAAUAUGGAGAUACAAUCAAUAAAUUGGGGUUACAAGAAGAUGGGAAGUGGCUUAAUUUGAUUCAAGUUUGCAUUGAAGAUUAUCAAAAAAUAUUUGGACAGAAUUGACGAAUUUCUACGCAAAUUUAAUUUUUUUUAUCUAGGACAAGUCUGAAUAUUUUUAUUUAAUUAUUUUUUGUCA
Hevea brasiliensis (rubber tree) is the source of this 1554-nucleotide long non-coding RNA. RefSeq lists it as uncharacterized. The transcript has 2 exons. The record is from RefSeq and is a predicted model, not a curated record. Lineage: Eukaryota; Viridiplantae; Streptophyta; Magnoliopsida; Malpighiales; Euphorbiaceae.